Long non-coding RNA from Bos taurus (domestic cattle), 1486 nucleotides. Lineage: Eukaryota; Metazoa; Chordata; Mammalia; Artiodactyla; Bovidae. The record is from Ensembl.
GGAAACUCACAUUACCAUAUGUAAACCAGAUAGCCAAUGGGAAUUUGCUGUGUGGCUCAGGGAACUCAAACGGGCUCUGUAUCAACCUAGAGGGGUGGUCUCUUGGCUGCUCCUCCUGUGAGGACCAGUUCCUCCCUUGAACCCGCCCUUUGGAACUCAGGGAAGGCCAUGGAGGCUGGAGUCUUGCCCACAAGAAAUGAAGACAGAAAAGCCCCGGCACCAGGGAGCCCCACAGGGCCCUGCUCGGUUUCACUACUCGCCCCUUAAUUUGCUGCUUGAUUCCAGCAUUUUACAGCAGUGUAAAUUGUAAUGUUUUUAUAUUUUGUUUACUUGCUAAACAACAUUUUUGUGAAAGGGCAGGUAGUCUGCCAAGAUAACAAAAUGUGCAAUAAAAUUAGAAGUAGAAAUGUGGUAUGAACGGAUGUACCAGAGGCAAAUUACAGACGGAUGCUUUGCCUUUUCAAAGGGGGCCUGUUCUCUUCAGCUGAUUGCUGCACGGGUUCAUUAGCGUCAGCUUUUUUGCUGGUUUUUAAAGAGAAAGCUGAGGACUUAACUUCCCUGAUGGCACAAUGGUUAACAAUCCGCCUGCCAAUGCAGAAGGCACAGGUUGGAUCCCUGGUCCAAGAAAAUUCCACAUGCCAUGGGGCAACUAAGCCCAUGCACGCACCACAGCUCCUGAAGCCUGCGCACCUAGAGCCCACGCUCUGCAACAAGAGGAGCCGCUGCAAUAAGAAGCCGUGCACCGCACCGAGAGCAGCCCCCGCUCGCCACAACUCGAGAAAGCCCGAGAAUAGUAAUGAAGACCCAGCGCAGCCAUAAAUAAAUUUUUUUUUUAAAGAGAGAAAGCUGAAAUCAAAGAUGUAAAAUCUUUGUGUCUCCAGCAACAAAUUGGGGGUAUCCAGUUCAGUUCAGUCGCUCAGUCAUGUCCGACUCUUCGCAACCCCAUGAAUCACAGCACGCCAGGCCUCCCUGUCCAUCACCAACUCCUGGAGUUUACUCAGACUCACGUCCAUCGAGUCAGUGAUGCCAUCCAGCCAUCUCAUCCUCUGUCAUCCCCUUCUCCUCCUGCCCCCAAUCCCUCCCAGCAUCAGAGUCUUUUCCAAUGAGUCAACUCUUCGCAUGAGGUGGCCAAAGUACUGGAGUUUCAGCUUUAGCAUCAUUCCCUCCAAAGAAAUCCCAGGGCUGAUCUCCUUCAGAAUUGGGGUGAGGGAGAGUUUAAAACCACUGUGGGCUAGACAAAACCCACUUGCAGGCCACGUUUACCCACAUUGGUCACCAGUUUGCAAUCUCUAGUAUGGACUGUAAUAAAAGGCUGACGGUUUAGCGAUCAGCUUCAAAAUUAGGAUGGCAUCAUUUCUUCCAUGUGGCAUAUAUUGUAACUCUUUGAACAAGCAGACAUAAAGUACAGUAUGCCCUUCUCUGUUUUGAAGAUGUAACAGACCUCUCUUUACUGCUUCUCCCAAGGAGUUAUGCAAAUAAAUGACAG